GUCGGGUGCAGUGGCACAUGCCUGUAGUCCCAGCUACUCAGGAGGCUGAGGUGGGAGCAUCACUUGAGCCAAGGAGUUCUGGGCUGUAUAGUGUGUUAUGCUGAUUGGGUGUCUGCACUAAGUUUGGCAUCAAUAUGGUGACCUCCCGGGAUCGGGAGACCACCAGGUUGCCUAAGGAGGGAUGAACCAGCCUAGGUCAGAAACAGAGCAGGUCAAAACUCCUGUGUUCAUCAGUCGUGAGAUCACACCUGGGAAUAGCCACUGCACUCCAGCCUGGGCAAUAGAGUAAGACUGCAUCUCU
Molecule: unclassified non-coding RNA, 301 nt
Organism: Cebus imitator (Panamanian white-faced capuchin)
Lineage: Eukaryota; Metazoa; Chordata; Mammalia; Primates; Cebidae
Rfam family: Metazoan signal recognition particle RNA
About the family: The signal recognition particle (SRP) is a universally conserved ribonucleoprotein. It is involved in the co-translational targeting of proteins to membranes.
Source: Ensembl